This 322-nucleotide ribosomal RNA is filed under the name uncultured eukaryote. RNAcentral's name for it is "partial 18S ribosomal RNA". It matches the Rfam family "Eukaryotic small subunit ribosomal RNA", at positions 1470 to 1796 of the family's 1831-position model. The record is from RNAcentral.
CCCUUAGAUGUUCUGGGCCGCACGCGUGCUACACUGAGUGGAUCAGCGGGUCAGGUUGCGCGAAAGUGUUUCCUAAUCUUUAAAUCCGCUCGUGAUGGGGAUUGACGGUUGCAAUUUUCCGUCAUGAACGAGGAAUACCUUGUAAGCGCGGGUCAUCAUCCCGUGCUGAAUACGUCCCUGCCCUUUGUACACACCGCCCGUCGCUCCUACCGAUUGAGUGGUCCGGUGAGGCUUUGGGAUCUGGGCGGAAAGAGCGUUUCGCUGUUUCUGCCCGGAAAACUCAGUCGAACCUUAUCAUUUAGAGGAAGGAGAAGUCGUAACA